UGGGGAAUAUUGGACAAUGGUCGAAAGCCUGAUCCAGCCAUGCCGCGUGUGUGAAGAAGGUCUUCGGAUUGUCAAGCACUUUAAGUUGGGAGGAAGGGCAGUAAGCGAAUACCUUGCUGUUUUGACGUUACCGACAGAAUAAGCACCGGCUAACUCUGUGCCAGCAGCCGCGGUAAUACAGAGGGUGCAAGCGUUAAUCGGAAUUACUGGGCGUAAAGCGCGCGUAGGUGGUUCGUUAAGUUGAAUGUGAAAGCCCCGGGCUCAACCUGGGAACUGCAUCCAAAACUGGCGAGCUAGAGUAUGGCAGAGGGUGGUGGAAGUGCCUGUGUAGCGGUGAAAUGCGUAGAUAUAGGAAGGAACACCAGUGGCGAAGGCGACCACCUGGGCUCAUACUGACACUGAGGUGCGAAAGCGUGGGGAGCAAACAGG
This 429-nucleotide ribosomal RNA is filed under the name Pseudomonadota bacterium. Its description in RNAcentral is "Proteobacteria bacterium partial 16S ribosomal RNA". It matches the Rfam family "Bacterial small subunit ribosomal RNA", at positions 355 to 776 of the family's 1533-position model. The record is from RNAcentral. Lineage: Bacteria; Pseudomonadati; Pseudomonadota.